UACAGAGGUCUCAAGCGUUGUUCGGAUUCAUUGGGCGUAAAGGGUGCGUAGGCGGCGCGGUAAGUCGGGUGUGAAAUCUCGGAGCUUAACUCCGAAACUGCAUUCGAUACUGCCGUGCUUGAGGACUGGAGAGGAGACUGGAAUUUACGGUGUAGCGGUGAAAUGCGUAGAUAUCGUAAGGAAGACCAGUGGCGAAGGCAGGUCUCUGGACAGUUCCUGACGCUGAGGCACGAAGGUCAGGGGAGCAAACGGG
This 253-nucleotide ribosomal RNA is filed under the name uncultured bacterium. Its description in RNAcentral is "partial 16S ribosomal RNA". It matches the Rfam family "Bacterial small subunit ribosomal RNA", at positions 524 to 776 of the family's 1533-position model. The record is from RNAcentral.